This 1329-nucleotide ribosomal RNA is filed under the name metagenome. RNAcentral's name for it is "bacterial LSU rRNA". It matches the Rfam family "Bacterial large subunit ribosomal RNA", at positions 1582 to 2925 of the family's 2925-position model. The record is from RNAcentral.
AGGCCGAAGUACAUGAUUCCAUGCUUCCAAGAAAAGCAUCUAGAGGGAGAAGUAGUGCCCGUACCGCAAACCGACACGGGUAGAUGAGGAGAGAAUCCUAAGGCCGGCGGAAGAAUUGCAGUUAAGGAACUAGGCAAAUUGACCCCGUAAGUUCGCGAGAAGGGGUGCCUGCGAGAGCAGGCCGCAGAGAAUAGGCCCAAGCAACUGUUUAGCAAAAACACAGGUCUCUGCUAAAGCGUAAGCUGAUGUAUAGGGGCUGACGCCUGCCCGGUGCUGGAAGGUUAAGGGGAACACUUAGCGCAAGCAAAGGUGUGAACUUAAGCCCCAGUAAACGGCGGCCGUAACAAUAACGGUCCUAAGGUAGCGAAAUUCCUUGUCAGGUAAGUUCUGACCCGCACGAAUGGCGUAAUGACUUGGGCACUGUCUCAACUGCAAAUCCGGCGAAGUUGUAGUGCGAGUGAAGAUGCUCGCUACCCGCGAUUGGACGGAAAGACCCCGUAGAGCUUUACUGUAGCUUAGCAUUGAAUUCCGGUAUUGUCUGUACAGGAUAGGUGGGAGACUGGGAAACUAGGGCGUCAGCCUUAGUGGAGUCAACCUUGGGAUACCACCCUGACAGUACUGGGGUUCUAACAGGACGCCAUGAAUCUGGUGACUGGACAUUGUUAGGUGGGCAGUUUGACUGGGGCGGUCGCCUCCUAAAAAGUAACGGAGGCGCCCAAAGGUUCCCUCAGAACGGUCGGAAAUCGUUCGUAGAGUGCAAAGGCAGAAGGGAGCCUGACUGCGAGACAUACAAGUCGAGCAGGGACGAAAGUCGGGCUUAGUGAUCCGGUGGUACCUCGUGGGAGGGCCAUCGCUCAACGGAUAAAAGCUACCUCGGGGAUAACAGGCUGAUCUCCCCCAAGAGUCCACAUCGACGGGGAGGUUUGGCACCUCGAUGUCGGCUCGUCGCAUCCUGGGGCUGUAGUAGGUCCCAAGGGUUGGGCUGUUCGCCCAUUAAAGCGGCACGCGAGCUGGGUUCAGAACGUCGUGAGACAGUUCGGUCCCUAUCCGUCGCGGGCGUAGGAAAUUUGAGAGGAGCUGUCCUUAGUACGAGAGGACCGGGAUGGACUGACCUCUGGUGUACCAGUUGUUCCGCCAGGAGCAUGGCUGGGUAGCUAAGUCGGGAAGGGAUAAACGCUGAAAGCAUCUAAGCGUGAAGCCUCCCUCAAGAUGAGAUUUCCCAUAGCAUAAGCUAGUAAGACCCCUUGAAGAACACAAGGUUGAUAGGUCAGAGGUGUAAGUGCGGUAACGUAUUUAGCUGACUGAUACUAAUAGGUCGAGGGCUUGACC